Molecule: ribosomal RNA, 788 nt
Filed under: Salmonella enterica subsp. enterica serovar Kentucky
Lineage: Bacteria; Pseudomonadati; Pseudomonadota; Gammaproteobacteria; Enterobacterales; Enterobacteriaceae
Description: partial 23S ribosomal RNA
Rfam family: Bacterial large subunit ribosomal RNA
Source: RNAcentral
GCGGUGGCGGAGCGUCGUUUGCGACGCCCAACACACAAAACAAGCGGUGAGUGCUUUGGGGUGGGGUGACUGCGUACCUUUUGUAUAAUGGGUCAGCGACUUAUAUUCUGUAGCAAGGUUAACCGUAUAGGGGAGCCGAAGGGAAACCGAGUCUUAACUGGGCGUUAAGUUGCAGGGUAUAGACCCGAAACCCGGUGAUCUAGCCAUGGGCAGGUUGAAGGUUGGGUAACACUAACUGGAGGACCGAACCGACUAAUGUUGAAAAAUUAGCGGAUGACUUGUGGCUGGGGGUGAAAGGCCAAUCAAACCGGGAGAUAGCUGGUUCUCCCCGAAAGCUAUUUAGGUAGCGCCUCGUGAACUCAUCUUCGGGGGUAGAGCACUGUUUCGGCUAGGGGGUCAUCCCGACUUACCAACCCGAUGCAAACUGCGAAUACCGAAGAAUGUUAUCACGGGAGACACACGGCGGGUGCUAACGUCCGUCGUGAAGAGGGAAACAACCCAGACCGCCAGCUAAGGUCCCAAAGUCACAGUUAAGUGGGAAACGAUGUGGGAAGGCUCAGACAGCCAGGAUGUUGGCUUAGAAGCAGCCAUCAUUUAAAGAAAGCGUAAUAGCUCACUGGUCGAGUCGGCCUGCGCGGAAGAUGUAACGGGGCUAAACUGUGCACCGAAGCUGCGGCAGCGACGCUUAUGCGUUGUUGGGUAGGGGAGCGUUCUGUAAGCCUGCGAAGGUGUCCUGUGAGGGAUGCUGGAGGUAUCAGAAGUGCGAAUGCUGACAUAAGUAACGAUAA